RNAcentral lists this long non-coding RNA (695 nucleotides) under Homo sapiens (human). RNAcentral's name for it is "HSALNT0175849". The record is from RNAcentral. Lineage: Eukaryota; Metazoa; Chordata; Mammalia; Primates; Hominidae.
CCAAGAGCAAGAUUCUCCAGAGCUAAACUGCAAGGGGCUGGGCAGAGGCCUGCAGAGGUGGCCUGUGGCUGGGACAGUCCCAAGGGAACACGGGGGAUAGGGUGGGGGGAAUGGAGCACAGGCCCUGGGACCCCACAGAUUUCCAACUGCUAAUGCAUGCCCAGCUGGACUCGCUCUGACCAUCUGGGCCACUGGGAGAAGAGGGAGGGGCUCCGUCACUAUCCUGCACCGGCACCGCGCAGGCUUUGAAAGUUUCGAAAUCCAGUGGGCGCUGCACCCUGUCCUUAUGGAAGCCCUUCAUAGACAACGCUGUGUCAUGGUCAACCAGAUGUCCUUGAAGCCAGGACAACGAAGGGUUAACGACGGAGGAAGAGCGGGCUGUCCAGGCCAGGAGGCCCCAAGGCAGGGAGAAAGAGAAAGCCGUGUUAGUCAGAGUUCAUCACCACCACCACCACCAUCACCGCCACCACCGCCACGAACCACCGACCACCGACCACCGACCACCGAGCAGCCACGGCAGCACACAGCGGGGAGGAAGAAGCGACCACAACCGAGGGGGCGGGACCCAAACGGGCAACCCCAUCCUGACUGCACAGAAGGUGGGGUGGGCCCCGGGACCAGCUGGGGGGGCCAGGUAUGGCUGCCGAGGGGGCUCUCCUGCAAGGCUGGCCCUGGGGGAGGGGACGGGAGCGGGC